AAAUACAGAAAAUAUAGACUUCAACACCUACUACAGAGGUCAAACUGAAGAAAAAUACAGAAAAUUCAGACUUCAACACCUACUACAGAGGUAAAACAAAAGAAAAUACAGAAAAUACAGACUUCAACACCUGCUACAGAGGUAAAACUGGAGAAAAAAUACAGAAAAUAUAGACUUCAGCAUCUACUACAGAAGUAAAACUGAAGAAAAAUACAGAAAAUACUGACUUCAACACCUACUACAGAGGUAAAACUGAAGAAAAAUAUAGAAAAUAGAGACUUCAACACCUGCUACACAGGUAAAACUGAAGAAAAACACAGAAAAUAUAGACUUCAGAGCUCAACGGUGUGGGAACAGUCCGUGGUGUCGGGGGUUUAUGUUUUUCAUCAGAUCUGUUUGGACCUGGUGGGCUUGGGUGUGUUGGACCUGCAGGGUUCUGGAACAUUUAGGACACCGUUCCUCUGUCAACACUUGGACAAACAGCUGCUUUUCUGAAGGAGUGGCCUCACAUUUCACCUCAUCUGAGAACAAUCCCAGACCGGUAGAACCUGAAACACAAGGUGGAGGACUGUCAGACGGUCCCAGUGUCCAGUAGGAUCAGGACUGUUCUGAACUACAGCAGUUCUGGUUCAGACUCUAAGUGACAGUGGAUGUUUUACAACGUGUAACCGUCAAAACCCAUCACAGUAUUGACCCAAAAUAACCAUGGGCUGAUUUCUUUUUUCCCACCAAAUACAACAGUUAAAUUAAAUAAAGGUUCAGAUGCACUGAUAAAUCACAGGGUUUUUACUUUUUACUUUCUUUAGUGUGAUGUUACAUGUCACGUUGCUAUGGAGACCAACAUGCUGAUGAUGAUGUCGCUGUGUUUUUUUU
Sphaeramia orbicularis (orbiculate cardinalfish) is the source of this 873-nucleotide long non-coding RNA. RefSeq lists it as uncharacterized. The record is from RefSeq and is a predicted model, not a curated record. The transcript has 3 exons. Lineage: Eukaryota; Metazoa; Chordata; Actinopteri; Kurtiformes; Apogonidae.